Molecule: ribosomal RNA, 252 nt
Filed under: uncultured bacterium
Lineage: Bacteria
Description: partial 16S ribosomal RNA
Rfam family: Bacterial small subunit ribosomal RNA
Source: RNAcentral
UACGGAGGAUGCGAGCGUUAUCCGGAUUUAUUGGGUUUAAAGGGUGCGUAGGCGGACGCUUAAGUCAGCGGUAAAAUUGCGGGGCUCAACCUCGUCGAGCCGUUGAAACUGGGUGUCUUGAGUGGGCGAGAAGUACGCGGAAUGCGUGGUGUAGCGGUGAAAUGCAUAGAUACCACGCAGAACUCCGAUUGCGAAGGCAGCGUACCGGCGCCCAACUGACGCUGAAGCACGAAGGCGUGGGUAUCGAACAGG